Oncorhynchus kisutch (coho salmon) is the source of this 888-nucleotide long non-coding RNA. The record is from Ensembl. NCBI's taxonomy places the organism in Eukaryota, Metazoa, Chordata, Actinopteri, Salmoniformes, Salmonidae.
CACCAUCAGACCACCAGAUGGACGGGCUGUGUGUUUCUCUCAUCACUCUCUUGUGUGCUGUUUCCUCCAGUCAGGAUGGGAUCUCUGCAGCAGAGGUGGAGCUGAGAGUCAGACCAGGAGACAACGUCGUUCUUCAUUGUGACAUCAAAGAUUAUCUGGAUACAAAUUGGCACAGAAACAGCUCCAUUGGGAACAGGAGUCAUUUCAGAAUUUCCAAAUCCAAUCCUGUCCGUCGAUUCUAUUUCCUGUUGCGUUCUCAACAGUUCUAUGAUCUACUGAUAACUAACGUCUCUGAAUCUGACCUGGGACUCUACUACUGUGGGAGCUGGCAGAGACCUGUGGUGAACAAGGAAGGGUUUCUCAGUGACACAGAAGAAGAUGUCUACCACCAUGGAAAUGUCAUCACCAGACUUUCAUUUGAAACCCGUCCAACUGAGCCCUCCUCCUCCUCCUCCCCUGAUGUAGACUGUGGUCUGUGUUGGAUGUUGCUGUUCAGUCUGUGUCCUGUGUCUGCUCUCCUCUCCUCUCUCCUCUCCUCCACCUGUGUCUACUCCUUCUGCAGAACAACAGCUCCAACUGACUCUCAGAUCAAGUCGACCAUCAGGGGAAGUGAGAGCAGAGUACAGGAGGAAGGAGACCUGUUUUACGCCUCGUUGGAUAUCCGUCAGGGACAGAAGACACCAAAGAAGAAGAAGACAGUCCAGAACUCUGACUUCAGUACCUACUCAGCCAUCAAUACCAGCAGAGUGUGAGACCUAUACCAGCCAUCAAUACCAGCAGAGUGUGAGACCAAUACCAGCAGAGUGAUAACUAUACCAGCCAUCAAGAUCAGCAGAGUGAUAGAUAUACCAGCCAUCAAUGCCAGCAGAGUGAUAUCUAUACCAGCAG